RNAcentral lists this ribosomal RNA (1584 nucleotides) under Triticum aestivum (bread wheat). RNAcentral's name for it is "partial small subunit ribosomal RNA". The record is from RNAcentral. Lineage: Eukaryota; Viridiplantae; Streptophyta; Magnoliopsida; Poales; Poaceae.
AUGGGCUCGAGCUCGAUGGCUCCCGUCUCAAACGCGCCGGCCGGAGCCGCGCGUCGCCUCCCUCCUCGGAGCGCCGCCGCAGGCCACCAGCUCCACGCGCUCCUCACCAAGCAUGGCCUCCUCCACCACCCGGCCGACCUCCGCGCCGUCCUCUCCCGACUCCCUGCCUCCCCGUCGUCCCUCGCCUUCCUACUCUCCGCCCCUCCGGGCGUUCUCUCCCAGUCCCUCUUCUGCCCGUUCAUCGCCGCAUUCUCCUCCUCCCCCGUUCCUCACUUCUCGCUCGUCAUCUUCAACCACGUCUCCUCCCUCUCCAUCCCCACUCCGCUCCCCACCUUCCCCGCCCUCCUCAAAUCCUGCGCCCGGGCUUUCAAGCUGCGCUCUGGAGCCAGCGCGUCCUCCGAGGCCUUCGCCUUCAAGGGGCUGGAGUUGCACUGCCGCGUCCUAAAGCUGGGCUGCGGUGCGGAUCGCUACGUGCAGAACGCGCUCGUGUCCAUGUACGGCAAGCUCGGCCGUCUCAGGGAGGCGAGGAGGGUGUUCGACGAAAUGCCUGUUAGGAACGCCGUUUCCUGGAACGCCCUAGUGGGUGCGCACGAUGUGGCGGGUGAUUCGCAUGGUGCAGAGCGAUUGUCUCAGGAAACGCCUGACCGGAACAUUUCAUGGUGGAACGCCGAGAUCGUGCGGAAUGCGAGGGCUGGUGAUAUGGAGGAGGCAUCGCGGGUCUUCAGUGAGAUCCCUGACAGGGACGUUGUGUCAUGGAACUCCUUGAUCGGUGGCUAUGUGAAGCUCAGGAGGUACAAGAAAGCAUUGGAGAUCUUCCAAGAGAUGCAGGACAAUGGCAUCGAGCUGACCGAGCUAACACUUGUGUCUGUUCUUGGGGCAUGUGCAGAGAUUGGCGAGGUGGAGCUUGGGAAGGGUGUCCACAGUUACCUGGAUAGCAAGGGCAUUGCGGCUGAUGGUUAUGUUGGUAACGUGCUCGUUGAUAUGUAUGCGAAAUGCGGCAGAUUGGACCUUGCCAUGCAAGUCUUUGAAAGCAUGUCAACCAGGGACAUUACUUGCUGGAAUGCAAUGAUUGUUGGGUUGUCGGUUCAUGGCUACUCACACAAGGCUCUGAAGCUCUUUGAUUCGAUGAAAGUUGAGCCUGAUCAUGUCACAUUUCUUGGUGUCUUGAUUGCCUGCAGCCAUGGUGGCCUAGUGGACGAGGGGAGAUCAUAUUUUAGCAGCAUGGCUGCAGACUACAAAAUUGUGCCGGAUGUGAAGCAUUACGGGUGCAUGAUAGACAUGCUCUGCCGCUACGGUAAAGUUGCAGAAGCAUAUCAAAUGAUGGAUGAUAUGCCCGUCAAGGCAAACUCUGUGCUCUGGAAGAUGGUGUUGGCUGCAUGCCGAGUGCAUGGGCAAAUGGACCUUGCUAAAAAGGCUUUCCACAAAUUGCAUGAGCUGAUGCCCGCUGAUGAUGGGGAUGUCAUCACGAUAUCCAAUGUUUAUGCAGAAGCAAGGAGAUGGGACGACGUUGAGCAUCUGAGAACGAGGAUAACCGAACACGGUGUUCGGAAGCACGCCGCACACAGUCAAGUUGAUGUUCCGUAG